RNAcentral lists this transfer RNA (66 nucleotides) under Urocitellus parryii (Arctic ground squirrel). Its description in RNAcentral is "Spermophilus parryii (Arctic ground squirrel) tRNA". It matches the Rfam family "tRNA". Rfam says of the family: Transfer RNA (tRNA) molecules are approximately 80 nucleotides in length. Their secondary structure includes four short double-helical elements and three loops (D, anti-codon, and T loops). RNAcentral also lists the same sequence under 1 other name. The record is from Rfam by way of RNAcentral. Lineage: Eukaryota; Metazoa; Chordata; Mammalia; Rodentia; Sciuridae.
GGUUGUAGCUCAGUGGUAGAGUGCUUGCCUCACAUGCAUGAGGCACUGGUUUGAACUCCAGCACCA